GAAGAUUAAAGUCCAUAUUUACAGUUUAUAUCCUUAAAGCAGGUUGAAUACUUAUGCCAGCAUGUUUACAUGGUGGCAUUGAACAUAAGAAGACCAGAGAUGGUUGAGAAGCAAGUAGAGUGAAAGUCAGGUUCCCUGGUGGCCUGAAAGAGUUAAUGUUGUUUCCAAGAGUGCCCAACUUCCUUCCAGGCAGUAGUGCCUGCAUGUGAGAGUCUGGCUCCAAG
This 224-nucleotide long non-coding RNA is filed under the name Cavia porcellus (domestic guinea pig). RNAcentral's name for it is "lncRNA (ENSCPOG00000038396.1)". Lineage: Eukaryota; Metazoa; Chordata; Mammalia; Rodentia; Caviidae. The record is from RNAcentral.